GUUGUCUGGAUGGGGAACAAUAAUUUGUUUUCUUGUAUACAUAAAUAUGUAUGUUAUGUUUAUUAUUUUGCCAAUUGGAUCGGAAUUAAAAUAAAUUUAGAUCCGAUUGGUUAAAUUUAUGUUUGCCUUAAGUGGGCUUAGCCCACAUAUAAUUGGACCAAAAGUAAAUUUCAUUCAUAAAUCAGGACUAAAAGGGCCGCAAACAAUUUGCACAACUUUUGGGCUCGACCCAACAACAAAUGGGCCUAUCGGAAUCAAUUUUGG
This 264-nucleotide long non-coding RNA is filed under the name Setaria viridis. Its description in RNAcentral is "long non-coding RNA (SVIR_LNC002020)". Lineage: Eukaryota; Viridiplantae; Streptophyta; Magnoliopsida; Poales; Poaceae. The record is from RNAcentral.